This 406-nucleotide ribosomal RNA is filed under the name uncultured bacterium. RNAcentral describes it as "partial 16S ribosomal RNA". It matches the Rfam family "Bacterial small subunit ribosomal RNA", at positions 30 to 526 of the family's 1533-position model. The record is from RNAcentral.
AUUGAACGCUGGCGGCAGGCCUAACACAUGCAAGUCGAACGAGUGGCGGACGGGUGAGUAAUGUCUGGGAAACUGCCUGAUGGAGGGGGAUAACUACUGGAAACGGUAGCUAAUACCGCAUACCAUCAGAUGUGCCCAGAUGGGAUUAGCUAGUAGGUGGGGUAACGGCUCACCUAGGCGACGAUCCCUAGCUGGUCUGAGAGGAUGACCAGCCACACUGGAACUGAGACACGGUCCAGACUCCUACGGGAGGCAGCAGUGGGGAAUAUUGCGCAAUGGGCGCAAGCCUGACGCAGCCACGCCGCGUGUAUGAAGAAGGCUUUCGGGUUGUAAAGUACUGUCAGCGGGGAGGCGUUACCCGCAGAAGAAGCACCGGCUAACUCCGUGCCAGCAGCCGCGGUAAUAC